Molecule: transfer RNA, 74 nt
Filed under: Thermoguttaceae bacterium
Lineage: Bacteria; Pseudomonadati; Planctomycetota; Planctomycetia; Pirellulales; Thermoguttaceae
Description: tRNA-His
Rfam family: tRNA
About the family: Transfer RNA (tRNA) molecules are approximately 80 nucleotides in length. Their secondary structure includes four short double-helical elements and three loops (D, anti-codon, and T loops).
Source: RNAcentral
GUGGUUGUAGCUCAGUUGGCUAGAGCAUCGGAUUGUGGCUCCGAAGGUCGAGGGUUCGAGCCCCUUCAACCACC